RNAcentral lists this ribosomal RNA (253 nucleotides) under uncultured bacterium. RNAcentral's name for it is "partial 16S ribosomal RNA". It matches the Rfam family "Bacterial small subunit ribosomal RNA", at positions 524 to 776 of the family's 1533-position model. The record is from RNAcentral.
CACGUAGGGUGCGAGCGUUGUCCGGAAUUACUGGGCGUAAAGAGCUCGUAGGCGGUUUGUCGCGUCGUCCGUGAAAACUUGGGGCUCAACCCCAAGCUUGCGGGCGAUACGGGCAGACUUGAGUACUGCAGGGGAGACUGGAAUUCCUGGUGUAGCGGUGAAAUGCGCAGAUAUCAGGAGGAACACCGGUGGCGAAGGCGGGUCUCUGGGCAGUAACUGACGCUGAGGAGCGAAAGCGUGGGGAGCGAACAGG